Molecule: ribosomal RNA, 253 nt
Filed under: uncultured bacterium
Lineage: Bacteria
Description: partial 16S ribosomal RNA
Rfam family: Bacterial small subunit ribosomal RNA
Source: RNAcentral
UACGUAGGGUGCGAGCGUUAAUCGGAAUUACUGGGCGUAAAGCGUGCGCAGGCGGUUUUGAAAGUCAGCUGUGAAAGCCCCGGGCUUAACCUGGGAACUGCGGUUGAAACUACAGGACUAGAAUCUGGCAGAGGGGGGUGGAAUUCCACGUGUAGCAGUGAAAUGCGUAGAGAUGUGGAGGAACACCGAUGGCGAAGGCAGCCCCCUGGGCUGAGAUUGACGCUCAGGCACGAAAGCGUGGGGAGCAAGCAGG